RNAcentral lists this ribosomal RNA (253 nucleotides) under uncultured bacterium. RNAcentral describes it as "partial 16S ribosomal RNA". It matches the Rfam family "Bacterial small subunit ribosomal RNA", at positions 524 to 776 of the family's 1533-position model. The record is from RNAcentral.
UACGGAGGGUGCAAACGUUGCUCGGAAUUAUUGGGCGUAAAGCGCGUGUAGGCGGUCUGCUAAGUCGAGUGUGAAAGCCCUGGGCUUAACCUAGGAAGUGCGCUCGAAACUGGCAGGCUUGAGUACGGGAGAGGGUCGCGGAAUUCCCGGUGUAGAGGUGAAAUUCGUAGAUAUCGGGAGGAACACCAGUGGCGAAGGCGGCGACCUGGACCGAUACUGACGCUGAGACGCGAAAGCGUGGGUAGCAAACAGG